This 305-nucleotide ribosomal RNA is filed under the name Wolbachia sp. Ac1. RNAcentral's name for it is "bacterial SSU rRNA". It matches the Rfam family "Bacterial small subunit ribosomal RNA", at positions 494 to 798 of the family's 1533-position model. The record is from RNAcentral. Lineage: Bacteria; Pseudomonadati; Pseudomonadota; Alphaproteobacteria; Rickettsiales; Anaplasmataceae.
UGGCUAACUCCGUGCCAGCAGCCGCGGUAAUACGGAGAGGGCUAGCGUUAUUCGGAAUCAUUGGGCGUAAAGGGCGCGUAGGCGGAUUAGUAAGUUAAAAGUGAAAUCCCAAGGCUCAACCUUGGAAUUGCUUUUAAAACUGCUAGUCUAGAGAUUGAAAGAGGAUAGAGGAAUUCCUAGUGUAGAGGUGAAAUUCGUAAAUAUUAGGAGGAACACCAGUGGCGAAGGCGUCUAUCUGGUUCAAGUCUGACGCUGAGGCGCGAAGGCGUGGGGAGCAAACAGGAUUAGAUACCCUGGUAGUCCAC